CUUUUUGACAAGACUAUGGCCUCGACACAUAUAUUUUGGUGUCCGUAGUACCUAGCGUAGUGUGUGAAGCAUAUAGUAUUAUGAAGUGUUAAGUUGAAUAGAUUCUUCCUGUGUCUGGUCUUUGAUUUCCAUUUCAUGUGAGGUGCUGCUAAAACUGAUGUUUGUUAGUCACUGAGUCUCUGUUGAUCUAAAUUCAGCUGUUUCUUUAAGCAUUCUGUAGUCCGGCCCUACUCCCACGUAUCCAACCUAGUCUACCCUAGAAUCCACUAACGCUUUAUUAUGUUACAUUCUUUUAGUUCUCUAGCUUGUCGUCUCUCCCUCCUCUCCCCUAAGGAUGAAACAAAACAGGCAUGUAUAGAUUCAAGUUUGGAUGUCUUGUAUAGCUUUCAGUUUCGGUAAGUCCUUCAAGGGCCGACUUAUGUCUCUCCUUUUCUAUUAAAAACCUUUACCAAAGUCUUGGUCAGAAUUCUGGUUCUUAUGGACGUCUGUCAUUAUUAUAUACCAAAUCUUUUAUGG
This 516-nucleotide long non-coding RNA is filed under the name Homo sapiens (human). RNAcentral describes it as "long non-coding RNA NONHSAT229635". The record is from RNAcentral. Lineage: Eukaryota; Metazoa; Chordata; Mammalia; Primates; Hominidae.